Molecule: long non-coding RNA, 387 nt
Filed under: Homo sapiens (human)
Lineage: Eukaryota; Metazoa; Chordata; Mammalia; Primates; Hominidae
Description: HSALNT0249581
Source: RNAcentral
AAAUGCAAUAUAAGCCACAAUUUGGAAAAGGAAAGCAUGAGAAGCACACUACAGAGACUGAUCUAGAGAAGUUAUCACUGUGCUGGGUGGGAGUCAUUCAUCUGUCUGCUCUGGGAGAUUCACAUGAAGUCCCAGGAUAGCUUCUGUCGGCUUUGGUGGCCUGUUGCAGCAGCCAGCAGCAGGAAACUUGAGGAGCUAUCAUCUCAGGAAUGAACGGGGCCACAUCAAUAAGGAGACCUGUAAUGAUGUGGCUCUAAAUGUCAGCUUUAAAAGCCUGGGAAUUGAUAGAGGAAGAGAGAAGAAAGGGUGUCCCAGUUUUCCACAUGCCGAAUGAUUCAGCAAAAUAAUGUGAGCAAGUCAAGACUCUGGAAAAUAUUUUUAGAUGCC